Cinara cedri is the source of this 212-nucleotide non-coding RNA. NCBI's taxonomy places the organism in Eukaryota, Metazoa, Arthropoda, Insecta, Hemiptera, Aphididae. The record is from the annotation of a GenBank genome assembly.
UGCAGUUUUUCAAUAAUUGAGAAAACCGGGAAAAACCGCGAAAUUAAUACAUGAAUAUAUUUUCAAUAUAAAACACCGUCUAAUUGAAUAAAGAAUGUAGUUUUAGAAAUAAUUCAAAAUAUUCAUUGUCGAUAAUAUAAUAUGCUGUGAUAAAACCCAUCGCUCAAACAAAAAUGGCGGAUUUUAAAACUUCGACUAUUUAGUCGCGAUCC